Molecule: long non-coding RNA, 855 nt
Organism: Labrus mixtus (cuckoo wrasse)
Lineage: Eukaryota; Metazoa; Chordata; Actinopteri; Labriformes; Labridae
Exons: 2
Source: RefSeq, a predicted model, not a curated record
ACAGAUAACUGUUGGGGUUGUAUCAAGUCAACUUUGGUUAUAUUCUUUAAUAAUUAUACUUAAUUAUUAAUAAUAUAAAUAAAAUAUCAUCAAACUAUGUUUAAUCUCGUUUUGGGGCACCACCCUGUACUCAGGGAAAUAUAACCAAAAUAUCACUCAAAUCAGUCUCAAAUUAGUUAUUUAAUUACUAAUAUUAUUAAUAAUUAAUAACUAUAUUUAAUAAAUUGAAGGCGUGAAAUCCGUACACAAAGCCCUCGCACCCAGAUUAUAUCACAAUGCAAAUACAACCAGUAAUCACAAACAACUGCUCUCUUAAAUUAUAACAGAAUUUAUUUAAACAAAGCAACAUCAAUCCAAAAUCAAUGAACUUAAUCAAACAAAUAACUAUCAUAAACUAAUCUAAGCAACAAACAUUAUCAAGCAAGGCUUGUGGAUGAGGUGUGAAUGUGUGUGUGUGUGUGUGUGUGUGUGUGUGUGUGUGUGUGUGUGAGAGAGAGAGAGAGAGAGAGAGAGAACAAGAUGGUGGAGAGAGACAACGCACCAUGUGGCUUCGUCACAUGGUGACAAAAUGGUGGACAACAAAGGAAGCCGUGUGGCUGCCUUUUGAAAUAGUUUGAGCUCUCUGAGCUGAGUUCAGUAACUGUUACUUAAACACCAGAUUGAAAGCCAGUGGCCGGACUUUGAUUCAACGGCGGGUACACUGGUCUUUCUGAUUGUGAAAGCCGUUGACUGAAGGUAAACUAGCAUAGCAUUACAUACAAAGGCGAACACAGCAGUUCAUCACAAUAAAACAAAUGCAGCAGCUUACAACAGAUAAUAAACAGAAUGUGACGUGUCGUCAACAAUGAUGCAUAA